UCCAGACUCCUACGGGAGGCAGCAGUGGGGGAUAUUGCACAAUGGGGGGAACCCUGAUGCAGCGACGCCGCGUGGGUGAAGGAGCGUUUCGGCGCGUAAAGCCCUAUCGGCAGGGAAGAAGGAGGACGGUACCUGACUAAGAAGCCCCGGCUAACUACGUGCCAGCAGCCGCGGUAAUACGUAGGGGGCAAGCGUUAUCCGGAUUUACUGGGUGUAAAGGGGGCGCAGACGGCAGCGCAAGCCAGGAGUGAAAGCCCGGGGCCCAACCCCGGGACUGCUCUUGGAACUGCGCGGCUGGAGUGCAGGAGGGGCAGGCGGAAUUCCUGGUGUAGCGGUGAAAUGCGUAGAUGUCAGGAGGAACACCGGCGGCGAAGGCGGCCUGCUGGACCGUGACUGACGUUGAGGCUCGAGAGCGUGGGGAGCAAACAGGAUUAGAUACCCCAGUA
This 446-nucleotide ribosomal RNA is filed under the name uncultured bacterium. RNAcentral describes it as "bacterial SSU rRNA". It matches the Rfam family "Bacterial small subunit ribosomal RNA", at positions 330 to 792 of the family's 1533-position model. The record is from RNAcentral.